CUUCGGUAAAGAGCGGCGGACGGGUGAGUAACGCGUGGGUAACCUGCCCUGUACACACGGAUAACAUACCGAAAGGUAUGCUAAUACGAGAUAAUAUGCUUUUAUCGCAUGGUAGAAGUAUCAAAGCUUUUGCGGUACAGGAUGGACCCGCGUCUGAUUAGCUAGUUGGUAAGGCAACGGCUUACCAAGGCGACGAUCAGUAGCCGACCUGAGAGGGUGAUCGGCCACAUUGGAACUGAGACACGGUCCAAACUCCUACGGGAGGCAGCAGUGGGGAAUAUUGCACAAUGGGCGAAAGCCUGAUGCAGCAACGCCGCGUGAGCGAUGAAGGCCCUCGGGUCGUAAAGCUCUGUCCUCAAGGAAGAUAAUGACGGUACUUGAGGAGGAAGCCCCGGCUAACUACGUGCCAGCAGCCGCGGUAAUACGUAGGGGGCUAGCGUUAUCCGGAAUUACUGGGCGUAAAGGGUGCGUAGGUGGUUUCUUAAGUCAGAGGUGAAAGGCUACGGCUCAACCGUAGUAAGCCUUUGAAACUGGGAAACUUGAGUGCAGGAGAGGAGAGUGGAAUUCCUAGUGUAGCGGUGAAAUGCGUAGAUAUUAGGAGGAACACCAGUUGCGAAGGCGGCUCUCUGGGACUGUAACUGACC
Molecule: ribosomal RNA, 644 nt
Filed under: uncultured bacterium
Lineage: Bacteria
Description: bacterial SSU rRNA
Rfam family: Bacterial small subunit ribosomal RNA
Source: RNAcentral